RNAcentral lists this ribosomal RNA (484 nucleotides) under uncultured bacterium. Its description in RNAcentral is "partial 16S ribosomal RNA". It matches the Rfam family "Bacterial small subunit ribosomal RNA", at positions 28 to 523 of the family's 1533-position model. The record is from RNAcentral.
GACGAACGCUGGCGGCGUGCUUAACACAUGCAAGUCGAACGGAAAGGCCCUGCUUUUGUGGGGUGCUCGAGUGGCGAACGGGUGAGUAACACGUGAGUAACCUGCCCUUGACUUUGGGAUAACUUCAGGAAACUGGGGCUAAUACCGGAUAGGAGCUCCUACUGCAUGGUGGGGGUUGGAAAGUUUCGGCGGUUGGGGAUGGACUCGCGGCUUAUCAGCUUGUUGGUGGGGUAGUGGCUUACCAAGGCUUUGACGGGUAGCCGGCCUGAGAGGGUGACCGGCCACAUUGGGACUGAGAUACGGCCCAGACUCCUACGGGAGGCAGCAGUGGGGAAUAUUGCACAAUGGGCGGGAGCCUGAUGCAGCAACGCCGCGUGCGGGAUGACGGCCUUCGGGUUGUAAACCGCUUUCGCCUGUGACGAAGCGUGGGUGACGGUAAUGGGUAAAGAAGCACCGGCUAACUACGUGCCAGCCGCCGCAGUAA